GCAAGUCGCACGGGCAGGGCAACCUGUCAGUGGCGGACGGGUGAGUAACGCGUAGGUAUCUAUCCUUGGGUGGGGGACAACGGUUGGAAACGACUGCUAAUACCGCAUGAUAACUGAGGUUUAAAGGCGCAAGUCGCCUGAGGAGGAGCCUGCGUACGAUUAGCUAGUUGGUGGGGUAAAGGCCUACCAAGGCUGUGAUCGUUAGCUGGUCUGAGAGGAUGAUCAGCCACAUUGGGACUGAGACACGGCCCAAACUCCUACGGGAGGCAGCAGUGGGGAAUAUUGGACAAUGGGCGAAAGCCUGAUCCAGCAAUGCCGCGUGUGUGAAGAAGGUCUUCGGAUUGUAAAGCACUUUCGACGGGGACGAUGAUGACGGUACCCGUAGAAGAAGCCCCGGCUAACUUCGUGCCAGCAGCCGCGGUAAUACGAAGGGGGCUAGCGUUGCUCGGAAUGACUGGGCGUAAAGGGCGCGUAGGCGGAUGGCACAGUCAGAUGUGAAAUUCCCGGGCUUAACCUGGGGGCUGCAUUUGAUACGUGUUGUCUAGAGUGAGGAAGAGGGUUGUGGAAUUCCCAGUGUAGAGGUGAAAUUCGUAGAUAUUGGGAAGAACACCGGUGGCGAAGGCGGCAACCUGGUCCUUGACUGACGCUGAGGCGCGAAAGCGUGGGGAGUAAACAGGAUUAGAUACCCUGGUAGUCCACGCUGUAAACGAUGUGUGCUGGAUGUUGGGCGACCUAGUCGCUCAGUGCCGUAGCUAACGCGAUAAGCACACCGCCUGGGGGAGUGCGGCCGC
RNAcentral lists this ribosomal RNA (791 nucleotides) under uncultured bacterium. Its description in RNAcentral is "bacterial SSU rRNA". It matches the Rfam family "Bacterial small subunit ribosomal RNA", at positions 57 to 889 of the family's 1533-position model. The record is from RNAcentral.